GACGAACGCUGGCGGCGUGCUUAACACAUGCAAGUCGAACGGAAAGGCCUGCUUUCCCUUGUGGAGUUCGGGUACUCGGGUGGCGAACGGGUGAGUAACACGUGAGUCAUCUGCCCCCAACUUGGGUAUAAGACUGGGAAACUGGGUCGAAUUCUCGUUAGGACUGCAGGGUGGUGCCGGUGGUGGAAAACGUUCUUCUAGUGGUUGGGGAUGAGCUCGCGGCCUAUCAGCUUGGUGGAGGGGUAAAUGCCUACCAAGGCGGCGACCGGAAGCCGGACUGGGAUGGUGGACGGCGACACUGGGACUGAGACACGGCUCAGACUGCUGCGAGAGGUGGCAGUGGGGAAUAUGACAGCGAGGGCGGAACGCUGCAGCAGCGACGGCGCGUGGGAGAUGACGGGCUUCGGGUUGUCAGCUCCUAUCGACCGCGAGGAAGCCACGUGGCUGGGAGGGUGGUGACGGUAGUGGUAGAAGAAGCACCGGCUAACUACGUG
This 494-nucleotide ribosomal RNA is filed under the name uncultured bacterium. RNAcentral's name for it is "partial 16S ribosomal RNA". It matches the Rfam family "Bacterial small subunit ribosomal RNA", at positions 28 to 507 of the family's 1533-position model. The record is from RNAcentral.